GUAGGGUCCAAGCGUUAUCCGGAAUCACUGGGCGUAAAGCGUGCGUAGGCGGUCUGUUAAGUGAGAUGUGAAAGCGUGUGGCUCAACCAUAUCGUUGUGUUUCAUACUGGCAGACUAGAGGGAAGCAGAGGCAAGUGGAAUUGGCAGUGUAGCAGUGAAAUGCGUAGAGAUUGCCAGGAACACCAAUGGCGAAGGCAGCUUGCUGGGCUUUUUCUGACGCUGAGGUACGAAAGCGUGGGGAGCGAACAGGAUUAGAUACCCUGGUAGUCCACGCCGUAAACGAUGCAUACUAGUCGUGUGGGGUAUCGACCCCCUGCGUGACGAAGCUAACGCGUUAAGUAUGCCGCCUGGGAAGUACGGCCGCAAGGCUAAA
This 373-nucleotide ribosomal RNA is filed under the name uncultured bacterium. Its description in RNAcentral is "bacterial SSU rRNA". It matches the Rfam family "Bacterial small subunit ribosomal RNA", at positions 527 to 898 of the family's 1533-position model. The record is from RNAcentral.